RNAcentral lists this ribosomal RNA (231 nucleotides) under uncultured bacterium. Its description in RNAcentral is "partial 16S ribosomal RNA". It matches the Rfam family "Bacterial small subunit ribosomal RNA", at positions 1270 to 1500 of the family's 1533-position model. The record is from RNAcentral.
AAUCUCUUAAAGCCGUUCUCAGUUCGGAUUGUAGGCUGCAACUCGCCUACAUGAAGUCGGAAUCGCUAGUAAUCGCGGAUCAGCAUGCCGCGGUGAAUACGUUCCCAGGCCUUGUACACACCGCCCGUCACACCAUGAGAGUUUGUAACACCCAAAGCCGGUGGGGUAACCUUUUGGAGCCAGCCGUCUAAGGUGGGACAGAUGAUUGGGGUGAAGUCGUAACAAGGUAUC